RNAcentral lists this ribosomal RNA (464 nucleotides) under uncultured bacterium. Its description in RNAcentral is "bacterial SSU rRNA". It matches the Rfam family "Bacterial small subunit ribosomal RNA", at positions 28 to 507 of the family's 1533-position model. The record is from RNAcentral.
GACGAACGCUGGCGGCGUGCCUAACACAUGCAAGUCGAACGGGGAUAUGAUUUCGGUUGUAUCCCAGUGGCGAACGGGUGAGUAACGCGUGAGCAACCUGUCCUUUUGAGGGGGAUAACACUUGGAAACAGGUGCUAAUACCGCAUAAGACCACGGGUCCGCAUGGACCAGAGGUCAAAGGAGCAAUCCGCAGAAGGAGGGGCUCGCGUCCCAUUAGGUAGAUGGCGGGGUAACGGCCCACCAUGCCUUCGAUGGGUAGCCGAGCUGAGAGGCUGAUCGGCCACACUGGAACUGAGACACGGUCCAGACUCCUACGGGAGGCAGCAGUGGGGAAUAUUGGGCAAUGGGCGAAAGCCUGACCCAGCAACGCCGCGUGAGGGAAGAAGGCCUCGGGUUGUAAACCUCUGUCCUUGGUGACGAAAAAAUAGACGGUAGCCAAGGAGGAAGCCCCGGCUAACUACGUG